RNAcentral lists this microRNA precursor (73 nucleotides) under Neotoma lepida (desert woodrat). Its description in RNAcentral is "mir-192/215 microRNA precursor family". It matches the Rfam family "mir-192/215 microRNA precursor family". Rfam says of the family: This family represents the human microRNA (miRNA) precursors mir-192 and mir-215. Animal miRNAs are transcribed as ~70nt precursors and subsequently processed by the Dicer enzyme to give a ~22nt product. The record is from Rfam by way of RNAcentral. Lineage: Eukaryota; Metazoa; Chordata; Mammalia; Rodentia; Cricetidae.
ACAGGAAAAUGACCUAUGAAUUGACAGACAGUAUGGUUGAGUAUGUCUGUCAUUCUGUAGGCCAAUAUUCUGU